CAUUGGCGCGGCCGUUGUGGAGAGAAAACACGGGAAUGCGCGUGCGGUAGCCGCCGCGGUGCGUAAGACCCGGAUUGUGCAGUGCAUAUAUGUAGAACCAUCGAAACAGUUGCAACUCCGAAAAUGAAAAAAAGUGGGGAAACGAAGCAUUGUGCGCACGGCCGAGGAACAAGCCGAGUACGAGGAGAUGCGUCGACAGAAGAAACGCGACUAUAACCAACCACAACGGGCCCGUGAGAGAGCGGAGAAUGCGGCCAGUGGCUUUGCAUCCGAAGAACGUCAUCGAGAGCAGAUGUAUACGUCCGCCACCCGAAUUCACAGAGAUCUGUCCACCAGUGUUUAAUUGGGCCCAGGACUGUGUUGAGCCGAGGAAUAACACGACUUGUGAACAACUGAACUGCUUCAAGGUGGGAUCCAUCUGCUGCCGCAAUGGCUGCAAGGAAAACUACUGCUACCUCGUGCCUGGCACAUUCAAGUGAGGCCCUCGGUCACCGCUAGCCACGCCAAGCUUCUUCUCGACACUUUAUCUGAAUAAACAUCCGUUUGAUAUGCUCA
Molecule: long non-coding RNA, 555 nt
Organism: Dermacentor andersoni
Lineage: Eukaryota; Metazoa; Arthropoda; Arachnida; Ixodida; Ixodidae
Source: RefSeq, a predicted model, not a curated record